GCCCGGGUGGCGGAAUUGGUAGACGCUGCGGACUUAAAAUCCGCUGAUCGAAAGAUCGUGCCGGUUCGAGUCCGGCCCUGGGCACCA
This 87-nucleotide transfer RNA is filed under the name Gammaproteobacteria bacterium. Its description in RNAcentral is "tRNA-Leu". It matches the Rfam family "tRNA". From Rfam's summary of the family: Transfer RNA (tRNA) molecules are approximately 80 nucleotides in length. Their secondary structure includes four short double-helical elements and three loops (D, anti-codon, and T loops). Further hydrogen bonds mediate the characteristic L-shaped molecular structure. tRNAs have two regions of fundamental functional importance: the anti-codon, which is responsible for specific mRNA codon recognition, and the 3' end, to which the tRNAs corresponding amino acid is attached (by aminoacyl-tRNA synthetases). tRNAs cope with the degeneracy of the genetic code in two manners: having more than one tRNA (with a specific anti-codon) for a particular amino acid; and 'wobble' base-pairing, i.e. permitting non-standard base-pairing at the 3rd anti-codon position. RNAcentral also lists the same sequence under 1 other name. The record is from RNAcentral. Lineage: Bacteria; Pseudomonadati; Pseudomonadota; Gammaproteobacteria.